Molecule: ribosomal RNA, 116 nt
Filed under: Gammaproteobacteria bacterium
Lineage: Bacteria; Pseudomonadati; Pseudomonadota; Gammaproteobacteria
Source: RNAcentral
CCUGGUGGCCAUAGCGAACGGGAACCACCUGAUACCAUCCCGAACUCAGAAGUGAAAACGUUUAGCGCCGAUGAUAGUAUGGGGUCUCCCCAUGUGAAAGUAGGACACUGCCAGGC